Molecule: non-coding RNA, 1196 nt
Organism: Mauremys reevesii (Reeves's turtle)
Lineage: Eukaryota; Metazoa; Chordata; Testudines; Geoemydidae
Source: the annotation of a RefSeq genome assembly
UCCGCAGCCUCUGUCUCUGGGCACGCACCAGACAACACCCCUGAGAACGCUCCUCUCCAAACACGGGACAAUGAGGCUUUGGUUGUAUCUCGUUCUCAUUGCAGCAGCGUUUGAAGGUGUCCGGUCCCAGGUGCAGCUGGUGGAGUCCGGAGGGGAUGUGAAAAAGCCCGGAGACUCUCUCCGCCUCUCCUGCAAAGCCUCCGGCUUCACCUUCAGCAGCUACUACAUGGGCUGGGUCCGCCAGGCUCCGGGGAAGGGACUGGAGUGGCUCGCCUUGAUUCACGGCUCUAGCAUAUACUACAGUGACUCCAUAAAAGGGCGAUUCACCGUCUCCAGAGAUGACCCCAACAGCCUGUUGUACCUGCAAAUGACCGGCCUGAAGCCCGAGGACACCGCCCGGUAUUACUGUGCGAGAGACACAGUGAGGGAAUCCCGAUACUGCUAAUACAAAAACUCAAGAUGCAGAAUCUUCUUUCUCCCAUGCGCCGCACGGGGGCAGCACUUCCCCGAAGAAUCCAGCCCUGGGCACAGGAACGGGAUCUACAACCAGAGCGAAAAAUCAUCUCUCGUCAGAACACAGGGACUUGAAGAUGGACCUCCCUUGAUCUCAGAAGAAUACUCUGAACACCGGGGCUAUUGCUCUCUCAUCACAAAGACUCUGCAAGGAUUCUGUACCAAGUGGAACAACUUCAAAUGCAGCUCUGUGGAGAUGAGUCCCUGGAAAACCUUCUAGCCCGGUUCCUGGGCACUCUCCUGAGAGGUACAAGAUCUACCUUGAAGUCCAGUGUCUGGCUCAGGCAGAGUGGGGCGGAGUCAGGGUGCUUAAUUCGAGGCUGUAAUUUCCACUGAGAGCCAGGCACCUAUAGGCAGGUGUUAUAGCAAUGACCCUUAGACCCUUAUAUGACGCGUUCCCCCAGGACUCCCAAGCUUAUUGAUCCAGACAGUGCCCCCAGUGGGGCGGGUCUGGUGUUUAAACGUUGUCUGAGUCUCUUCCCAUAUUUCCACAGGCGUUCAAACCUCAAGCGUCCCAACCAGCCAACUCAGAGUGUGGCUAUAAGACAGAGCUUGGUUUACAUCCUAGGUCCCUGGCUGUGUGUGUCCUCCGCUCUCAGGCUGCUGAUUUGCAGAUGCUCCAGGCUGUUGGCCUUGUCUCUGGAGAUAGUGAAUCGCCCUUUCACGGAAUCAGCCUAGUACUA